CCACCUAGGAGCCAGACCUGCUUCCAGGGCACAGCGCAGUGCCAGCCAGGACAGGGAAGUGUACCAGAUGCAAAGCAGAGAUCCGCAGAUACAAUCGGAGUACCCUGAAUAGACUUUUGGGAAACUGGCAGAUUCUUACAUCCCUUCCACCAUUUGGAAUUACAAACUGUGACUCACCUGUGCAUAGUUUUACCAGCUUUAACCUCUCAAUAACUCUCAUUUCCUUUUCUUAGCUAAUAAACCUUUACUUAGUUUACUAUAGAA
Molecule: long non-coding RNA, 264 nt
Organism: Gopherus flavomarginatus (Mexican gopher tortoise)
Lineage: Eukaryota; Metazoa; Chordata; Testudines; Testudinidae
Exons: 2
Source: RefSeq, a predicted model, not a curated record